RNAcentral lists this ribosomal RNA (465 nucleotides) under Vreelandella stevensii. RNAcentral's name for it is "partial 16S ribosomal RNA". It matches the Rfam family "Bacterial small subunit ribosomal RNA", at positions 338 to 795 of the family's 1533-position model. The record is from RNAcentral. Lineage: Bacteria; Pseudomonadati; Pseudomonadota; Gammaproteobacteria; Oceanospirillales; Halomonadaceae.
CCUACGGGUGGCAGCAGUGGGGAAUAUUGGACAAUGGGGGCAACCCUGAUCCAGCCAUGCCGCGUGUGUGAAGAAGGCCCUCGGGUUGUAAAGCACUUUCAGUGAGGAAGAACGCCUGGUGGUUAAUACCCAUCAGGAAAGACAUCACUCACAGAAGAAGCACCGGCUAACUCCGUGCCAGCAGCCGCGGUAAUACGGAGGGUGCGAGCGUUAAUCGGAAUUACUGGGCGUAAAGCGCGCGUAGGUGGCUUGAUAAGCCGGUUGUGAAAGCCCCGGGCUCAACCUGGGAACGGCAUCCGGAACUGUCAAGCUAGAGUGCAGGAGAGGAAGGUAGAAUUCCCGGUGUAGCGGUGAAAUGCGUAGAGCUCGGGAGGAAUACCAGUGGCGAAGGCGGCCUUCUGGACUGACACUGACACUGAGGUGCGAAAGCGUGGGUAGCAAACAGGAUUAGAUACCCCAGUAGUC